RNAcentral lists this non-coding RNA (43 nucleotides) under Trypanosoma brucei brucei. The record is from RNAcentral. Lineage: Eukaryota; Euglenozoa; Kinetoplastea; Trypanosomatida; Trypanosomatidae.
AACAAACUCAUAGGUGUAUCAAGUGAAUGUGAGAGUAAAUUGA